This 226-nucleotide ribosomal RNA is filed under the name uncultured bacterium. RNAcentral describes it as "partial 16S ribosomal RNA". It matches the Rfam family "Bacterial small subunit ribosomal RNA", at positions 538 to 763 of the family's 1533-position model. The record is from RNAcentral.
GCGUUGUCCGGAUUUAUUGGGCGUAAAGCGCGCGUAGGCGGCCCGUUAAGUCGGGUGUGAAAACCCGGGGCUCAACCCCGGGCCUGCAUUCGAUACUGACAGGCUAGAGGCAGGUAGGGGGAAGCGGAAUUCCUGGUGUAGCGGUGAAAUGCGCAGAUAUCAGGAGGAACACCGGUGGCGAAGGCGGCUUCCUGGACCUGUCCUGACGCUCAGGCGCGAAAGCUAG